RNAcentral lists this transfer RNA (72 nucleotides) under Candidatus Woesearchaeota archaeon. Its description in RNAcentral is "tRNA-Asn". It matches the Rfam family "tRNA". Rfam says of the family: Transfer RNA (tRNA) molecules are approximately 80 nucleotides in length. Their secondary structure includes four short double-helical elements and three loops (D, anti-codon, and T loops). The record is from RNAcentral. Lineage: Archaea; Nanobdellati; Candidatus Woesearchaeota.
GCCCUCGUAGCUUAGUGGUGGAGCGUGCGGCUGUUAACCGCAAGGUCGCCAGUUCAAACCUGGCCGAGGGCG